This 449-nucleotide ribosomal RNA is filed under the name uncultured bacterium. Its description in RNAcentral is "bacterial SSU rRNA". It matches the Rfam family "Bacterial small subunit ribosomal RNA", at positions 32 to 491 of the family's 1533-position model. The record is from RNAcentral.
AAUCAACGCUGGCGGCGUGCCUAACACAUGCAAGUCGAACGGUGACGAGGAGCUUGCUCCUCCGAUCAGUGGCGAACGGGUGAGUAACACGUGAGUAACCUGCCCCAGACUCUGGAAUAACAGUUGGAAACAGCUGCUAAUACCGGAUACGAGACGGAGAGGCAUCUCUACCGUCUGGAAAGUUUUUCGGUCUGGGAUGGACUCGCGGCCUAUCAGCUUGUUGGUGAGGUAAUGGCUCACCAAGGCGACGACGGGUAGCCGGCCUGAGAGGGCGACCGGCCACACUGGGACUGAGACACGGCCCAGACUCCUACGGGAGGCAGCAGUGGGGAAUAUUGCACAAUGGGCGCAAGCCUGAUGCAGCAACGCCGCGUGAGGGAUGACGGCCUCGGUUGUAACCGUCUUCUAGUAGGGAAGAAGACGAAGUGACGGUACCGUACAGAAGAAGC